Molecule: ribosomal RNA, 440 nt
Filed under: uncultured bacterium
Lineage: Bacteria
Description: partial 16S ribosomal RNA
Rfam family: Bacterial small subunit ribosomal RNA
Source: RNAcentral
CCUACGGGAGGCAGCAGUGGGGAAUAUUGCACAAUGGGGGAAACCCUGAUGCAGCGACGCCGCGUGAGCGAUGAAGUAUUUCGGUAUGUAAAGCUCUAUCAGCAGGGAAGAAGAUGACGGUACCUGACUAAGAAGCCCCGGCGAACUACGUGCCAGCAGCCGCGGUCAUACGUAGGGGGCAAGCGUUAUCCGGAUUUACUGGGUGUAAAGGGAGCGUAGACGGCGAUGCAAGCCAGAUGUGAAAGCCCGGGGCUCAACCCCGGGACUGCAUUUGGAACUGGGUGGCUGGAGUGUCGGAGAGGCAGGCGGAAUGCCUAGUGUAGCGGUGAAAUGCGUAGAUAUUAGGAAGAACACCAGUGGCGAAGGCGUCCUGCUGGACGAUGACUGACGUUGAGGCUCGAAAGCGUGGGGAGCAAACAGGAUUAGAUACCCCAGUAGUC